Molecule: ribosomal RNA, 253 nt
Filed under: uncultured bacterium
Lineage: Bacteria
Description: partial 16S ribosomal RNA
Rfam family: Bacterial small subunit ribosomal RNA
Source: RNAcentral
UACGAAGGGGGCUAGCGUUGCUCGGAAUCACUGGGCGUAAAGGGUGCGUAGGCGGGUCUUAAGUCAGGGGUGAAAUCCUGGAGCUCAACUCCAGAACUGCCUUUGAUACUGAGGAUCUUGAGUUCGGGAGAGGUGAGUGGAACUGCGAGUGUAGAGGUGAAAUUCGUAGAUAUUCGCAAGAACACCAGUGGCGAAGGCGGCUCACUGGCCCGAUACUGACGCUGAGGUGGCGAAAGCGUGGGGAGCAAACAGG